Molecule: ribosomal RNA, 247 nt
Filed under: uncultured bacterium
Lineage: Bacteria
Description: partial 16S ribosomal RNA
Rfam family: Bacterial small subunit ribosomal RNA
Source: RNAcentral
GUAUGGCGACCGGCGCACGGGUGAGUAACGCGUAUGCAACCUGCCCGAUACCGGGGUAUAGCCCAUGGAAACGUGGAUUAACACCCCAUAGUACUUUUAUCCUGCAUGGGAUGUGAGUUAAAUGUUCAAGGUAUCGGAUGGGCAUGCGUCCUAUUAGUUAGUUGGCGGGGUAACGGCCCACCAAGGCGACGAUGGAUAGGGGUUCUGAGAGGAAGGUCCCCCACAUUGGAACUGAGACACGGUCCAA